RNAcentral lists this ribosomal RNA (755 nucleotides) under uncultured soil bacterium. Its description in RNAcentral is "bacterial SSU rRNA". It matches the Rfam family "Bacterial small subunit ribosomal RNA", at positions 8 to 796 of the family's 1533-position model. The record is from RNAcentral.
AGAGUUUGAUCCUGGCUCAGGAUAAACGCUUGCGGCGUGCAUCAAACAUGCAAGUCGAACGCUCAGUCUUCGGACUGGGAGUGGCAGACGGCUGAGGAACACGUCGGUAACCUAUCGUGGUGUGGGGAAUAUACCGCCGAAAGGUGGGGCAAUACCGCAUGUGCUCGGGCAACCGAGGAAAGCUCGCAAGGGCGCACGACGAGGGGCCGGCGGGCGAUUAGCUAGUUGGUGAGGUAAAAGCUUACCAAGGCAAUGAUCGCUAGCGGGUCUGAGAGGAUGACCCGCCAGACUGGGACGGAGGAACGGCCCAGACACCUACGGGUGGCAGCAGUUGGGAAUUUUGCGCAAUGGCCGAAAGGCUGACGCAGCAACGCCGCGUGGAGGACGACGCCUUUCGGGGUGUAAACUCCUUUUCUCCGGGACGAUAAUGACGGUACCGGGGGAAGAAGCCUCGGCUAACUACGUGCCAGCAGCCGCGGUAAUACGUAGGAGGCAAGCGUUGUCCGGAUUUAUUGGGCGUAAAGCGUGCGCAGGUGGUGCAGGAAGUGAUGUGUGAAAGCUCUUGGCUUAACUGAGAGAGGCCAUGUCAAACUCCUGGACUUGAGGGUCGGAGAAGCAGACGGAAUUCCGGGUGGAGUAGUAAUAUGCGUAGAGAUCCGGAGGAACACCAGUGGCGUAAGCGGUCUGCUAGACGAUGCCUGACGCUGAGGCACGAAAGCGUGGGGAGCGAACCGGAUUAGAUACCCCGGUAGUCC